This 503-nucleotide ribosomal RNA is filed under the name uncultured bacterium. RNAcentral's name for it is "partial 16S ribosomal RNA". It matches the Rfam family "Bacterial small subunit ribosomal RNA", at positions 30 to 523 of the family's 1533-position model. The record is from RNAcentral.
AUUGAACGCUGGCGGCAGGCUUAACACAUGCAAGUCGAGCGGGGUGAUGGUGCUUGCACUAUCACUUAGCGGCGGACGGGUGAGUAAUGCUUAGGAAUCUGCCUAUUAGUGGGGGACAACAUCUCGAAAGGGAUGCUAAUACCGCAUACGUCCUACGGGAGAAAGCAGGGGAUCACUUGUGACCUUGCGCUAAUAGAUGAGCCUAAGUCGGAUUAGCUAGUUGGUGGGGUAAAGGCCUACCAAGGCGACGAUCUGUAGCGGGUCUGAGAGGAUGAUCCGCCACACUGGGACUGAGACACGGCCCAGACUCCUACGGGAGGCAGCAGUGGGGAAUAUUGGACAAUGGGGGGAACCCUGAUCCAGCCAUGCCGCGUGUGGGAAGAAGGCCUUAUAGUUGUAAAGCACUUUAAGCGAGGAGGAGGCUCUUUUGGUUAAUACCCAAGAUGAGUGGACGUUACUCGCAGAAUAAGCACCGGCUAACUCUGUGCCAGCAGCCGCCGUAA